Molecule: long non-coding RNA, 407 nt
Filed under: Homo sapiens (human)
Lineage: Eukaryota; Metazoa; Chordata; Mammalia; Primates; Hominidae
Description: HSALNT0068891
Source: RNAcentral
CCGAUUCCCAGCUCCGCGCCACGCGGACCCACCGAGCUCGCGCUCAGACGCCCCAGCUCCGCCGAGAGGCCGCUCGCGCCGGGUCCUUCCUCUUCCCCAAGUGCAGGCCGAGCCUCCGCAGCCACGGCCAGCCCUUCGGGCAGCUCCAAAGCCACUGGCAAGCCCCGAGGCAGGGAUGGCCGGCCCAGGAGGGAGGAGGACGACGUCCCUCCCUAGGAGAAGAACUGCGGCUGUUGCUGGAGGGGGGAAGCGCACAGCCCGACGACUGCGAGGACGGGGAGGACGCGCUGAGGUCAGGCAGGGAGGAGACCGGCACCCAGACAGGUGGCGACGGCAGAGGAAUAACCUUCACUCUUCUCUGCAACGAAUCCCAAAAGUGUGUAGUUGAGCUGACUGCAAGGUGCUUG